Megachile rotundata (alfalfa leafcutting bee) is the source of this 1618-nucleotide unclassified non-coding RNA. Lineage: Eukaryota; Metazoa; Arthropoda; Insecta; Hymenoptera; Megachilidae. The record is from RefSeq and is a predicted model, not a curated record.
CAAUAUAUCCAAGUUUGAUUACAGUAUGAAAACCUAAAAUUAUUUGAUGGCAAUGUGUUUUUUAAUUCUUCUAGUCUAUCUUAUAACUAUUGAUGAAGUAUCUAACACAAUACAAGAUCUUUACUGUGAUCUUGGAUUAGGAGAUGAUAAAUCAUGUCCUAUAGAUGGUGGUUGGACUUCUUGGGGUUCCUGGAGUGUUUGUUCUGGAAAAUGUGGAUUUAAAGGUAAAAGGACAAGACAUCGUACUUGUAAUAACCCAUUACCUUCAAAUGAUGGAGCUCCGUGCAUUGGUCCUAGUUAUCAAAUUGAAAAUUGUCAAGUUAAUGGUUGUAGAAUGAAUGAUUACGAAGAAGUAGUAAGCAAUCAUCCUAUACGUAAGAGGGAAAUGGAAAUUGUAAAAGAAUUUCAUAAAGAAUUACCUGCUUUAAUUGAAUUGUGUUUCAUUUUUGAUUGCACUUUUUUGAUUGUAGAAAAGAUUCUUGGAAACAAUGCGAUGCUUUAUUGGAAUGCUAUGAACUGUGUCAAAUAUGAUGUUGGAUGUCCAAGGCCUGGAGGAUGGAGUACUUGGGAAGCUUGGUCACCAUGUACUGCAGUUUGUGGCAAAGGACAAAAAUAUCGUAUACGAAAUUGUAAUAGUCCAGUACCUUCCAAUUCUGAAUUGAUGUGUAAUGAUUCAGCAUUUGAAGUGAAGAGUUGCAUGGGAUAUAACUGCAAGAAACAUUUAACAGGAACUUGGAUUAAUUGGAGUGAAUGGAGUGCAUGCAACACAGAAUGUGGUAAUGGUAUUCAAAUAAGAAAACGUUCGUGUUCAGAUGCACAAAAUCUGCAAGGAAAUUCAUGUAAAGGUUCAACUAAAGAAAUAAAGGGUUGUUCAAUCAAUAAUUGUUUUAUAAAUGGGAUGUGGUCAUCAUGGACAGUCUGGACACAUUGCAGUUCAAGUUGUGGAAUAGGUACACAGUUAAGAAAUCGGAUGUGUAACAAUCCUUCUCCAAGUGGUGGUGGAAUGUCUUGUUCUGGUUCUGCUUCUGAAGUUCGUCAAUGCUUUUCUAAGCCGUGUUUAGUUAGAUCACAUGAGGUAGCAUAUUUCACAGAAAAAAGCAGUCUUCUUUACAAUAUAAAUGGAAAACAUUCGCGUUUACUUCAUAUGUAUCUAAGAUUUUUACCACUUUCACCUUUGGGUGUUAUCAUUUAUCGGUUUGAGAAUAAUUGUAAGGGAUCAAUAUGUGAUUUUAUAAAACUGUUUCUACACAAUGGAAAAAUAGUACUUUUGUCUCAAAUCUCUGGCUGUACUUUGAGUUUAAUUUAUGAACAUAAAUUGGAAGUAAGAGAAGUCUAAUAUAUAUGUGUCUAUGCAAGAGAAGUUUAAUGAAUAUUUUUUAGAUUGGACAAUGGCAUGUAAUAUUAAUUGCUAUUUAUGGGACACGUGGUAUGUUACGAGUUAAUGAUGGUCAUCACAAAGUUGCUAUCUUUUCAUGUAUCCCAAUAUCAUACAACCUGGAUCAUGCAAUGAAAGUGGGAGAAUUUCAUGGUCAACUACAAGAAAUUGCAAUUAAUUUUGCACCCAUAAAAUUUCAUAUAUUAAAAGAUAAAUAUAAUCAAAAACUUGUAAAUACUCCGU